CGGUCAAAUCACGCUGAAACACCGGUUCUCGUUCGAUCACAAAAGUUAAGCAUCGUAGAGCCAGGUCAGUACUUAGAUGGGGG
Acanthosepion pharaonis is the source of this 83-nucleotide non-coding RNA. NCBI's taxonomy places the organism in Eukaryota, Metazoa, Mollusca, Cephalopoda, Sepiida, Sepiidae. The record is from the annotation of a GenBank genome assembly.